Long non-coding RNA from Clupea harengus (Atlantic herring), 597 nucleotides. RefSeq lists it as uncharacterized. The record is from RefSeq and is a predicted model, not a curated record. NCBI's taxonomy places the organism in Eukaryota, Metazoa, Chordata, Actinopteri, Clupeiformes, Clupeidae. The transcript is spliced from 4 exons.
UCUCUCUCUCUCUCCUCUCUCUCUCUCUCUUUCUCUCUCUUACUCAGCUAAAAAGUCCAAACCACAACCAGCUGUCAUUACCACAGCCACUCCAGGGGUCACUACGGCAACCCCCGCCACCACAUCAGGUACCGCACCUGUCCUGGUGGUCUCUCUGAGCCUGGCUGCAGUGGUGUGUGCUGUUCUACUCUUUGCACUCUACAAAUGGAGACAGAGGAAGCACCUCGUGCCAGAUGACUCAGCUGUUACACACAUCUAUCACCUGCCUAAUCCUGGAGUGGGUUUAAAUGAUAUCGAAUUAGACCCAACUGGAAAAAGUGGCCAAACGACAUCUGACUAUGAGUGAAUGGAUCCAACCGUCAACAACAGCGAUCCAGUCUACGAGAGCAUACAUAAUCCAGUUUACCAGCAGUUAGGGGCCCCAUCAGUUACGGUCUAUGAAAGCAUAGCCAAACAUGGCCACUGCAGCCAAACAGAUUCAGCCAACAGUUAGCGGUCCAAUCAGAUACGGCCUAAGAAAACAUACUGAAGAAUGUCCACUGCAGCCAAUCACAUGCAGCCAGAAGUUACAGUCCAAUCAGAUAAGGGUCUAUGAAA